Molecule: long non-coding RNA, 2137 nt
Organism: Patella vulgata (common limpet)
Lineage: Eukaryota; Metazoa; Mollusca; Gastropoda; Patellidae
Exons: 3
Source: RefSeq, a predicted model, not a curated record
AAUUACAAAACAAUUUUAUAAAUUGAAGAUAAAUCUCUUUAUAUACAUUAAUAUGUGCUUUUAGACCCAUUUUCGUCUAUUUUAACGUUCCAAUGAAUAGAGCCAUACACUCCUCAACUUAGUUCGCCCAUUUAUCGUCACUAGAUAAACUGUUAUGCUGCAUUUAACUUGUAACUAAACAAGGAAAUUGAGAGUCGCUACAACACUAGUCAGGCAGAACUAUCAUCUGCACACAGAGAUCGGGUGCCCCACCAAAAAUAAAUAUAUCAAUAAUUAUAUCACAGUAUUCAUAUAUAAUCAAGCCCCAACUUAGUUUAUCCCAUUUAUCGUCACUAAAUAAACGGUCAUGUUGCAUUUAACAAGUUAUAAUUAUAACCAUUUAAAGUCACAGUGCAAUAAAAAAUUUGGCUGAAAUUGUAAAUUCAAGCGGACACUGCAUUUUUGAGUGCAAAAUACAUUUAGGUCACAUGGCCAUGGUUUGAACACAGGAGUCUGAAUUUCUGUUUGUAUAUACCUACACCAUACCCUACUAGACAAUAUACAUGUACAAUAAAAAAGGAACUGGAAUGUAAUGCUCACAUUGAAAUGUGGUCGUAUAUUGUCGUCGCCCCCAUCCGUCCGGCGUCCACAAUUGACCUUUCCGUCGACUCCACCCACAAUAAGGCUUUGACCAGUCAGCUCCGAUUACAGUUUUCCGCGAAAUGACAUCGCGUUACCAUGCUUCAUCACCUUAGACAAACUACUGUAUGUGAAAUUUGACAUUUUGUCUUGUGUUGAAACGUCGUCAAUCGUGGUUUAGCAUUGCUCACACAGACAUCGUAACAGCGAUAACUGCUAUCCAGACAGGUAAAGGAUGGUGUAGUGUGCAUUCCCUUCCUGAAACAGUUAAAACAAAUGUGGGAUGUGUCUUCUAGGCCUAAUGGAUAAAAACUGUUGUCGACGUCACUCCCAGUUAAAUGUAAACAAACGUCAAUUCUAACCGGUCAAGUGUGUUCUAAUGUAAGUGUGUUGAAACAACGUCAAUCAUGGUUUAGCAUUGCUCACACAGACAUCGUAACAGCGAUAACUGCUAUCCAGACAGGUUAAAGGGUGGUGUAGUGUGCAUUCCCUUCCCGAAACAGUUAAAACAAAUGUGGGAUGUGUCUUCUAGGCCUAAUGGAUAAAAACUGCUGUCGACGUCACUCCCAGUUAAAUGUAAACAAACGUCAAUUCUAACCGGUCAAGUGUGUUCUAAGCACUUUCUGAAGCUGCCUGGACCAAUAGACACUAAUCCAGAACCAUAUUCAGCUGAUCAUAGUGGAAGUAUAACAUUUAACCAAAACUAACAAGAGAUGCAGCUCAGCUACAUUCCUGAAGAAGAAAAAAAAAUACCAAGAAUUAACAAAAAAAUUUAUUGGUAUUUUAAAAGUUGCUUUAUUGCUGAUGAGCAAGCUUGAUCGUGAGGACUUUAAAAUAAAAGAAGAGAAAGUCUAUAGUCUGCUAAGUUGGAAUGUUUAAUAUAACAAAAACAUAAUUAUAUAAGAACAGUUACAAUGUUUGACAGAAUGUGUCAUAUAUGAAAUAAGUGAAAAACAGAAUUUAAUAUAUCAGAAUGAACAUAACAGGAGAGGGGGGGGGUUAUACUCGCUUGACUGCGAGAGGCACUAUUUGGAAUAUCACGUGAUAAUUUUGUGAAGUCAUGGGCUAUCAGUGGAGAUCACGUGAGGUAUGGAGUCACUGGGAUUCCCCACACGUAGAUCACGUGACGAUUUUGUGACGUCAUGGGAUAUCAGUGGAAAUCACGAGAUGUGGACAUGCUAGAUGUCACGUGAUACGUGACGACACAGGAAUCCUGACAGGUACGUCACGAAUUGGGGAAACCCAGGACGACACGAUUAUAGUGGAUAUAAUAAUGACUUAACCUUAAUCGCUGAAUAUAAACAUAAAUAGAUACAAAUGACCUUUAACGUUAAUACGCUGAAUAUUCGUAGGACCAUACGAACAUGUGCGGAUACAAUAUAUAUAUAAUCCUAAUACAUGUAAAUACAACCAAGAAUCUCAAUAGGUAUGUCACGUGAUUGGAGAAAACAAGAGUGACACGAAUAAUGAAUAUGAUAUAAAAUAUAUCGUCGGUCUCCGCUUAAAACCUCGUUUAACC